UGUGCACACUAGUUGGAUCUUGGAGUUGAGGUCACCAGGUGACCUGUGAGUGUUCAAAGUGUAGUGAGUAUACUACACAAGGGGCCAGUUUUCACUAACAAUCCAUCCUGAUCCAGUGAAGAGAAGCUUGGGAGUGACCCUGGCAACAAGC
RNAcentral lists this small nucleolar RNA (151 nucleotides) under Dipodomys ordii (Ord's kangaroo rat). Lineage: Eukaryota; Metazoa; Chordata; Mammalia; Rodentia; Heteromyidae. The record is from RNAcentral.